GAUGAACGCUGGCGGCGUGCCUAAUACAUGCAAGUCGAGCGAACAGACGAGGAGCUUGCCCCUCUGACGUUAGCGGCGGACGGGUGAGUAACACGUGGAUAACCUACCUAUAAGACUGGGAUAACUUCGGGAAACCGGAGCUAAUACCGGAUAAUAUAUUGAACCGCAUGGUUCAAUAGUGAAAGACGGUUUUGCUGUCACUUAUAGAUGGAUCCGCGCCGCAUUAGCUAGUUGGUAAGGUAACGGCUUACCAAGGCAACGAUGCGUAGCCGACCUGAGAGGGUGAUCGGCCACACGGGAACUGAGACACGGUCCAGACUCCUACGGGAGGCAGCAGUAGGGAAUCUUCCGCAAUGGGCGAAAGCCUGACGGAGCAACGCCGCGUGAGUGAUGAAGGUCUUCGGAUCGUAAAACUCUGUUAUUAGGGAAGAACAAAUGUGUAAGUAACUAUGCACGUCUUGACGGUACCUAAUCAGAAAGCCACGGCUAACUACGUG
RNAcentral lists this ribosomal RNA (497 nucleotides) under uncultured bacterium. RNAcentral describes it as "partial 16S ribosomal RNA". It matches the Rfam family "Bacterial small subunit ribosomal RNA", at positions 28 to 507 of the family's 1533-position model. The record is from RNAcentral.